Molecule: ribosomal RNA, 392 nt
Filed under: uncultured Gammaproteobacteria bacterium
Lineage: Bacteria; Pseudomonadati; Pseudomonadota; Gammaproteobacteria
Description: bacterial SSU rRNA
Rfam family: Bacterial small subunit ribosomal RNA
Source: RNAcentral
AAUGGGCGAAAGCCUGAUCCAGCCAUGCCGCGUGAGUGAUGAAGGCCCUAGGGUUGUAAAGCUCUUUCGCCAGGGAAGAUAAUGACGGUAUCUGGUAAAGAAACCCCGGCUAACUCCGUGCCAGCAGCCGCGGUAAUACGGAGGGGGUUAGCGUUGUUCGGAAUUACUGGGCGUAAAGCGCACGUAGGCGGAUUAAUAAGUCAGGGGUGAAAUCCCGAGGCUCAACCUCGGAACUGCCUUUGAUACUGUUAGUCUUGAGUCCGAGAGAGGUGAGUGGAAUUCCGAGUGUAGAGGUGAAAUUCGUAGAUAUUCGGAGGAACACCAGUGGCGAAGGCGGCUCACUGGCUCGAUACUGACGCUGAGGUGCGAAAGCGUGGGGAGCAAACAGGAUU